CAUUUGGUGAGAAUUCACAACAUGCCAAGCAUUGGCAGAACUGCUGUACGUAUAUUACUUAAAUAAAUACUUCAAAUAAUCAUGUAAGAGACAUACCCUCAUUAUCUCCAUUUUACUCCUAGUACAUUGUGCCCACAGUCUCAUAAUUGAGCUAGACUUUGAAAUCAAAUCUAUGUUCCUAACCUUUAUGCUUGCUACAUGAAGCAGCCAAAUGAGUCUGUAGUCUCCUGAGUCUCCAGGUGAUUUCUUCAUAGGUUCAAGUGCAACAGAAAGAGAGAGGUCUUCUUAACACACCUAUAUUUCCCGAUUGUUCCCACAAAAAUCCCAAUUAUGCAUUCUUUUGGAUUAAUUAGGUCCUUUCUUAAAUAAACCAUUGGGGGUCAAAUUAUAGUGUUAGACCUGCUCCAGUGGUAAGCUGAAUCUCUACCCACACCCUGUAUCAAUGAGACUGAAUAAGGUAGCAUGUAUUGGAGCUAGUUAGCACCCCAUUUCCACUUUUCCCAAUUCCUAGUGCCAAUAAGGCUCAGUAGAGAGCUGAACCCCCACAACCACCUGCAGCAAGAAGACUGAAUGAGGCAGUGUGAGGCAGGGCCAGUCAGCACUCUGGUUUCUGCUCCUCUCUUCUGGGUCUUCACCCCCAAUUGUCAUCAUUAUGAUGGAAUGGGAAGGUAGAAGAUGGAACUAAUUGGCAUUCCACUCCUCACUGCUCCCCAGCAGGGACCAACAAGAAGCAGAGCUUCCAUUCUUACACUGCAGCAACAAAGUGCCACUUCAGCCAUCUGUCUCCUUCCUCCCCUCUGUGUCAGUGGGGCCCAACAGGGAUCUGAGCUUAGACUUCAAUUUAAAAGCAAUGGAACUGAUGUUGGAGAAAUUAUUUGGAUUCUGGAUGAAGAACCUGAUUACAUGGAAGGCUCAGCAAAUAAAGGCAACCUUCUUGAAAAGGACAAGAAAAAAUUUUUUUUGGUCCUUUCAUCAGCUGCAACAGAGACUUUAAGGUUUUUCAGAUACUUGAAAAAGUCGGUUAAUUCUGGGAAUCAUAAAUCUUUUGAUACCUUAGAUGCCUUACAGUCAUUAUUUUACCUAAAUAUAUCCCCAUCACACACAUAUAUGUAA
Long non-coding RNA from Callithrix jacchus (white-tufted-ear marmoset), 1113 nucleotides. The record is from Ensembl. NCBI's taxonomy places the organism in Eukaryota, Metazoa, Chordata, Mammalia, Primates, Cebidae.